RNAcentral lists this transfer RNA (62 nucleotides) under Amynthas carnosus. RNAcentral describes it as "tRNA-Ala". Lineage: Eukaryota; Metazoa; Annelida; Clitellata; Crassiclitellata; Megascolecidae. The record is from RNAcentral.
UGUGACUUAGUUUAACUAGAACAAUCAACUUGCACUUGAUAGGAGAGGCCCCUCAGUGACGG